This is a long non-coding RNA of Talpa occidentalis (Iberian mole), 2605 nucleotides long. RefSeq lists it as uncharacterized. The transcript has 3 exons. Lineage: Eukaryota; Metazoa; Chordata; Mammalia; Eulipotyphla; Talpidae. The record is from RefSeq and is a predicted model, not a curated record.
ACCCGCGCGGAGACUGUGUGUGCGGCCCGGCGUGCGCUUCCUACCGUGUGUCACCGAGGCGACCGCAGGCUGUCAGUUCACUUGCUGUCGCCCGCAUGGAGGAGAUGUCAACCCAGGAGGAGAGUGCUUCUGAACAGAUUUAAUGAACUGAAUGAAAAUGGGUGACUUUGGAACUCGCCAAAAGAGCCACAUUCUCCAAGACUUUCUCCAAGUAGAAACAACUUAAAUGUCAAACAACAGGAGAAUUUACAGAACAAUUAACAUGACAGAAUAUAACUUGGUCAUUGAAUAGUUAUAAAGACUAUUAAAAUAUAGGGAAAUUAAAAAUCAGAGUAUGAAAAUGAAAUUACAACAUAAUUUUGAAAAACCAGAAGGAAUAACUUCAAAAUGAAAGUAAUUGUGUUAAGAAUGUAGGAUUAUAGAGUUCUUUUUUAAAGCAUUUGCUUUAAUGUGAUUGUAUUGUUUUUACUUUAGAAGUAAAUAAGAAAAUACCCAGGAUAAUAAAAAAGCUAUCCUGAAUUAGCCAUCUGUGCUCUGCUGAAUGGGAAACUUUAUUAAAUCAUUGAACUUAUGUUACUAUAUUAAUCAAUACACAGCAUUUGAGGAUAGCAAACAAACUUGAGAAAUCCAUUUUUAGAACUGGUUGAAUUAAUUUAUCAGCAAGUUUGAAGACUCCAAGUUGAUGUCCAGUUGGGGGCUGCAGUAGCUCUUAUCCAUGUCAUGUUCCACCUUCAUGCCCAAACUUGAAGUUAGCAUCUUUGAGCAGUCUAGUUUUAGAUAUCAGUGAUUUUAUAGUUCUGACUUUUGAUCUUGUUCUUGGAUGCUAUGUGUCACUUUCAGUGAAGCCACAUUUAUAUAUCCAAUUUCAGAAUUCUGUGAACAUGAACGAGACUUGGGAGAAUUGGAGGUGGCCACUACUGCGUCUGACUUAUGUUCUCCAAUCUCUUGAAUAUUUGGAACUGACGCUAUCAAGUCUAUUCCUGUAAAACUAAGAAAGACCACGUGUGAGGACUUUGCGUAAAUAGGAUCUCUUAGUGGCACUUAGGGUAACAGAGAGAUGGCAUCGAUAGGAUUUCAGUUUUUUACAAUUAUCAAACACAAAGAAAAGACAAAAAAUUUACCUUAAACUUAUGUUUAUGAAUUAUUUUCUAACUUAAGUCAGGAUUCUGUGAUGUGUGGAGGUGACACAGCGACAAGGAGAGAAGGAAUUGGAAGAUGAUUUAAAUAAUAUACAGAAAAUUACCCCCAAAUGUUUUGCUUUCUCAAGCCAGCAGCUCGGGACUACUGAGGCAGGCAUGACAUGAGGCAAUAAAUAAAUGAUUGUCAUUACUAACCUGGAGUUUGGUAAAUGCAAUAUUUUACUCAAUACUUCAAAUUCAGGGAUGUCACUAAUUACUGUUUCCUGAAAGGAAAGAAAAAAUAAACAUUAAAAAUUAUGACAAACUACUAGCACUAUGACCUUAGAACUUAUACCUUAUGUAUGUUUGUGGGUUUUUUUUUUUGGUUAUAAAUGUGAUCCCCUCACCUCACACUCGUUAGAAUGACUAUCAUCAAAAAGACAAAAGUUAAGUGAAGUAAAUCAGGAGAAAGACAAGCAUUGGAUGUGGACUAUAUGUGGACUAUAGAGGAACAAAACAAAGGGUGAGACGAAACCAAAUCAAUAACAAACUGAAGAAAUCUGACUGUGGAAUUGAGGCUGCAAGGGGCAGAGAGACACACUGGGGAGGGGCAUAAUGAACUAUAGUGGAGGACUGUGGGUACCUUAGUGGUGGGGGUGGUGUGGUGACAUGGACCUGAGGUGUGAACCUAUGCCUCUGAAUGACACAGUGUUGUGAACCAAUGUUAUCUGAAGUAAAAAAAAAAAAAAAAUUUAAAUGAGAAUUCUGCCUCCAGACUGCAACAUAGAAAACAAACAAAGGAGAGAGGAGACAAAUGCUGGAAGAAUAGGAAGAAAGGGAGCCCUUAUAUACUAUUGGUGGAAUGUAAAUUGGUGGAAUGUAAAACUACCAUAGUCUAGCAAUCCCAUGUCUAGGUAUAUUCAAAGGAAAGAAAAUCACUGUCCCAAAGAGAUAUCUGUACCCCACAUUCAUUGCAGUAUCAUUUAUAAUAACCGAGACAUGGAAGCAAACUAAGUGUCCACCAAUGGAUGAAUGGAUAAAGAAAUUCUAGUCACACACACAAGCCCCACCCUAUGGCAUACUAUUCAUCCAUAAAAAGAAGAAAAUCCUGCCACCUGUAACAACAUGGAUAGAUCUUAAGGACAUUAUGCUAAGCGAAAUCAGUCAACAAAGACAAAUGCUAUAUGAUCUCACCUUUGUGUAGAAUCAAAAAAGUAAACACAUAAAAACAGAUCAGACUUGUGGUUGCCAAAUGUUAGGGAUGGAUGGUGGGGAAUUAGGUGAAGGUGGUCAAAGGUACAAACUUCCAGCAAUAAGCUAAAUAAGUUCUGUGGCAAUGAGUGUAAAUUAUAUUGUGGUGCUCAUUUUGCAAUGUAUAUAUAUAUAUUACAAAAUCAUUGUGUUGUAACCACCUUAAACUUAUACAAUGUUAUAUGUCAGUUUUACCUAAUAAAACUGGAAAAAUGUAAUCCCUAAUGCCUUGGUAC